CGGCGGACGGGUGAGUAAUGCCUAGGAAUCUGCCUGGUAGUGGGGGACAACGUUUCGAAAGGAACGCUAAUACCGCAUACGUCCUACGGGAGAAAGCAGGGGACCUUCGGGCCUUGCGCUAUCAGAUGAGCCUAGGUCGGAUUAGCUAGUUGGUGAGGUAAUGGCUUACCAAGGCGACGAUCCGUAACUGGUCUGAGAGGAUGAUCAGUCACACUGGAACUGAGACACGGUCCAGACUCCUACGGGAGGCAGCAGCU
Molecule: ribosomal RNA, 257 nt
Filed under: uncultured Pseudomonas sp.
Lineage: Bacteria; Pseudomonadati; Pseudomonadota; Gammaproteobacteria; Pseudomonadales; Pseudomonadaceae
Description: partial 16S ribosomal RNA
Rfam family: Bacterial small subunit ribosomal RNA
Source: RNAcentral